GUGUUGUACGAAAGGAGAGAAAGUUAGCACUCCCCUUGAUAAGGACGGACUACACUGGGAAGAAUCCUUCAUACACAGUUGCGAUUCAAGCCCGUUAAUACGUUUCCACACUUAUUU
Penaeus monodon (black tiger shrimp) is the source of this 117-nucleotide small nuclear RNA. The record is from RefSeq and is a predicted model, not a curated record. NCBI's taxonomy places the organism in Eukaryota, Metazoa, Arthropoda, Malacostraca, Decapoda, Penaeidae.